Molecule: RNA transcript, 6180 nt
Organism: Megalobrama amblycephala (Wuchang bream)
Lineage: Eukaryota; Metazoa; Chordata; Actinopteri; Cypriniformes; Xenocyprididae
Gene name: interferon-induced very large GTPase 1-like
Exons: 4
Source: RefSeq, a predicted model, not a curated record
ACAUAUUUAAAACAGUUCAUGUGACUACAGUGGUUCAACCUUAAUGUUAUGAAGCAACAAGAAUACUUUUUAUAUGCCAAAAAAAACAAAUAAAGACUUUAUUCAACAAUAUAUAGUGAUGGGUUUGGAUACAGUCAGUUUGAUACAGACUCCGAACCACUGAUUCGAAACAAAAGAUUCGUAAAGCUUCAUGAAACAGUUGAAUAAAUUGUUGAAUAAAGUCGUUCAUCACGUUCAUCAUGUUUUCAGGCCAUUUCGAGUUUGAUUUUGACAUGAAAUAAAGAGUUAAUAUCUAAGUGACAGUUGUUUACUUACUUUUUAAUUAGUCUUUUCAUUAACACAAUCACUGUCUUCAUUCAGGCUGAUUCGACGAGAAUGAGCCAGAAAACAAGAGGCGGGAAUUAUCGCAUGAACCAAUCAUGUCCAAUCCUAACAGAUCAUAUCCAAUCAUAGCACAGUUGAGGCAUUGCCUCCUCUCACGUGACUUUCCUCCAUUCAUUCUCAAUUACCCCCCCUAAACCCACUGCACGCUGUUUGACAGUGUUUCUUUAGAAAAACAAGUGACUUUUACACUUUUUAAUGUCAAAUUUUGUAACAUUUGCGUUGUUUUAUUUUUGUAAUAUUGAUUAUUUUGUCAUCCAGUUUUUUGCCCCUGAAUUUGACCAUAUAUGGUUGUUGUACACACACACACACACACACACACUGUGGACACAACAUUAUGUCCAAAAACAAUUGUUAAAUUUGCAUAAUAAAAAUAUUAUCAUUAAUUUUAUUUAUACUGCGCUUUUCCCAAACUCAAAGCGCUACACAGGAUAAGAAUACACAAUAACAAAAAUAAAGUUAACAUAAAUAACAGCAAUACUCAAUGACAAUAGACAGCUUUAAAAAGAUUCUUUAGAGACUUCAUAAAACAGUCCAGUGAUGGAGAAUUUCUGAUCACCAAAGAAAGAACAUUCCAUAACCGUGUGCUGACACAGAAAAAGCUUAAUCUCCCCUAGACUUUAAUUUAAAUGAAGGCUGCUGAAGAGUACAUGAACCAGGAAAACAGAGAGAGCGAGUCAAAAUGAACACCAAGAUUGCGCACUUGAGACGAUGGAGACAAUGAAUCAAACUCAGUAAACAAAUUGAGAUUAUUAAAUUUAUGCAAAGCCAUUGACAUACCAAAAAAUAAAUGUUUAGUUUUUGACUAAUUGAUUUUAAGAAAAUUGUCUUGCAUCCACGCUUCCAAAUAAGUAGUAAGAGCUGUGAUUGCUAUGUUAGGAUCAGCGUGUGUGCUGACAUAAAUCAGUGUAUAAUAAGCAUAAUUGUUAUUUUUAAUAUUUUAUAAUUGUAAACCCCAGAUCAUAAUUUUGAAUGAUGUCUCCAAGAGGCAACAUAUAUUUGCUAAGCAAAAUGGGCCCUAACACAGACCCCUGCGGGACACCUUGCUGAACUAAUGUUGGUUCGGAUUUAUUUUCCCCCAGACAUACAUAAUAAUCAGUGAGAUAGGAUUUAAACCAUUCAAACACAGCACCAGAGAUGUCUAACCAACCACGCAAUCUUUAAUGAAGGAUGGUAUGACAUACUGUGUCAAAAGCAGCACUGAUGAGUCUAGGUCUGUUGGUGUAUGUAUAUCCAGGCAGCAUGGCCAAAUUUAGACUGUAACAGCCAUUUGGUGAUACCAUGUCUCACAGAGGGAGAAAGUCAAGUUUUCAUUGCUGAAUGACAUCCUUAAGCAAUGCUGCUUUCUUGUUCAUUGAAUGCACGUUUAAUUGAACGAGUCUGUUUUCUGAGGUUACAUUCUUGUCGCACUUCUUUGAAGACAUCUGAGAAUAUAAAAUGUAAAAAUGUUUAAAAUGUACUGAAACUCCAGAUUAUGAGCAAAGUACAUUUAUACCAGCAGGCGAAGCACCCAUACAAGAGCCGUGAAUAUCUUGGCCGACGCAAAAGUUGAAAUGAGCACAAAGUUCUUUGAGCAGUUGCAGCAAUUGUGGCAGUAAUAAGAUGGUCAAGUAAACAUGAGUGAAGCUCCUGAACCUGACUCUGAUUCAUCAAUCAGUAACAUGGAUGAACCUACAAUCAAAGUAACAAGGGAGUCCACUAGAAGAGAAACGGGAGAAAAACUAAGGCUGCUGUUUCUUCUGACUGUGACCACAGUCGGACACACCCUGAACCUCUCGCUGCCCACACUGGCCUCCCACAACACUUUUACAACCUUCUCACAGCAUUUACGCAACCUUUUAAUAGCGUCUGCGUUCUGCCGCUCAGGGUUUACGAAGCCUCAAGCUCUCUAGAUGUCACAUGAGGAUCCAUCACGAUCCAGGUUAUGCUUAGAACUGGUUUUGCUGGUGUUUUCUGGUGUGGGCUGAUGGUUUUCAUGAUCUCAUGUUCCCAGGCAACAUGCAGACUGAUAAAAUAUAAAUUAUGAAGUCACUAUGGAUGAAAGCAUCUGCCAGAUGCACACAGAUAAAUGUAAGUUUGGAUUUGGCCGCUGCAGCUCACAUUCAUUUAUGCUUUCAAUUGUUUUUAUUACAUUGCAUGAGUGUAUUUGAGGUGUGUUUCAGUCUGCACAGGUUUCAGGUUUUCCCCACACACUCAUCCAUUAACAUGACAUCACACUGACACACAGAGGGAUACUCUCUAUCCAUAAUGUGGUUUGGUGGUUUUUUUUGUUUGUUUGUUUCAUCUUUCUCAUGGGAAAUAGAUACUUUCAUACUCCUCAUUUGGAUGAGGUCACUUUUGAUGAAAGUUUCUGCUUAAUGGAUAAUAUGAAUAAAAAUAUAAUGACAUUUUGUUUGUUAUUUCAACUUCUCUAUGGCUGUUGUGGGUUCAAGUUAAAGUGCUUGAGAUUAUGUUUAUAGUUUGUCAAAUCAAAGCCUCAUAAAUGUUCUUCCGUGUCUCCGGGAAACUGUGCCAGGACAACCGGAGCGCUCUGGGAAGCAGCUCUAGACCGAAGCGAGAGGAAACCCGCAUGUUUUUGAGGAAUCAAUCAGUGCUGAAGGAAGUUCGCAGUUUGAGCAGAUUUCAAUGCAAAUGAGCUUUAUUUUAGAGCAGAAUUCCACAGCUUUCUGAACGCCGUCUCCUUGGUUUCAUUUUCCCAACAGUUCGUAGAAGAGAGUCCACAGCAAACACUUACUGUACAAUGUGUUCACUGUCAAGCUGCUGCACACAUUCCUGCACAGAUAUCAGCUUUUUAUUGGCCCAGCUGACAGGAAACGUUCUCAGAAUUUUGGCUAAAAUGUUCUCUCAAAGUUAUGAAGAAACGUUCUUCUGGUAAUGUUCGUUCAACGCCAACUGGUCUUUAAUAAUGUUCUCUAAACAUUAGGUUUUGUCACAAUACACAUUACUACUAACCACUUUUGGUCAGUGAUGAUAUAAAAAAAAAAAAAAAUCCUAUACCUAUCCUUUCACUUCCUUUAAUCCCUCUCUAUUGUAGCUUAUGAUACCCUGAGCACUGCCUAUAACAUGUAUUGUCAGCACUUAUUGUCUAUUUGCCUAGUCAUGAUGACUCGCUUGUUGUAUUCCUUACUUGUAAGUCGCUUUGGAUAAAAUGAAUAAAUGUAAAUGUAAUCACUUUUUUUAUGAUGAUGAUGAAAAAUAUAUCACCUAAUCAUCUCCAUUUCUGGCUUUACAACAAAUUAUGUGUUUUGAUAAAUAAAUAAAAAUCAAGAGUCAAAAUGAAACACUGAUCCCCACAAUGGCGACCAAACAUUUUCAAUAAAACAUCAACAUCUAAACCUCUGUUAAUUCUCAAAAAAAAAAAAAAAAAAAACUGUAUACAAAUGAUAGAAAUAAAGUCAGUCGGUUUGUAAAAAGAGAGAUUUAAUGUAUUUUCAGUUGAUUUCAUAAGGCUGUGGCUGGAAGUUCAGUUGUUUUGCUUGCGUUUAUCUUUUCUUCAGUGAUUCUGUUCGUUAACAUCAGGUGUCUUCAAUAAUCAAACCAUCAACACUCAAUUAAUAACUUAAGUAUCUAAUUAACUCUAUCACUGUUUCAUUGUUACUUUUAACACCCUGCUGGUAGUUCACAUACAGAAUGGUGGUAAUUUAACACUGGGGAAUUUAGGCGAAUAGGCCUAUAAGUUGGAAGUAGGCCUACUAUAUAUCCAACUUUUAAUAUAGGACUGGCAGUAAUAUAGUUGACGUAUUUAGGACAUAUUACAGUACCGUAAAUGUUCCCUGUCUGUAGUGUCUCAGGGUUUGUGUGUCUGAAUCACACUCGAUCUACUACAAAACCACUGGAUUAUCAUGUCGUUUCAUGUCAUCACCGCUGAAUCAUUUGUAUGGUGAGAGUAGGAGUAAGAUGACUGAAUCCUGUAUAAUGCAGAUUCCAGUCGAGCCCACUGCUCAUGUUCAGACUUGAUCACCUGAUGCCAAUGAACAUUCUCUGAUUGGUUGAACAUGUUAAACUCAUCAUCAUCAUCAUCAUGUGUUUGUGAAGCUAUUUCAACCUGUAGUUUACCAAGAAGCUGUACAAGCUCAUAGUACAAAGUAUUAAAUUAUUACAAAAAAGACUUAAAAGUGACUCAAAUGAAUCAGUUAUUUGAAUCACUUUAGCUAUUGAAAUGACUCCUCAGUUGCCUCAAGAAGCUGCAUUCAGGCCAAAAUUAGCAUUUAUUUGAUUAAAAUACAGAGAAAAUUGUAAACAUAAAAAAAAAAAAAAAAUCUUAAUUGUUCCAAACUUUGACCGGUAAAGUCAGAGAUCUCAAUAUAAACUCAAACAUUUCUCAUCACAUUCAUUUUUUAGCUUUAGACUCUUACUAUACUAGCAGAAACAUUUGAAAAACAUGCUCUUUUCUUUUCAUCUAAGCAUUGAAAUGCUAAUGUUCUGGCCGCAGAAGCUCUGAUGAUGUCAGAUCCUGCUCUAUACUGUCUAUUAAUGGCACAACAGCAUUUAAAUCUGUGUGAAAGGAGUCAUAAAGAGUCAUUCUUCUGCAGGACAAAGCUCUGAUUAUGUGUUGGGAUGGGACUGGAUGCUCGGCUACCCUUCGCCACAUUCCUCCCUCGCAGAACCGCUGGACGUCUCUUGAUCUUCAGCUUCUGGUCGAGCGUUCAGUGUUGUGCUGGUGAGACAGAGAGGCGAUUGAGAAGAGACAGAACGCGAACAUGCUGUCAGGAUGAGACACAUAUUCAAUCCUGUCAAACUCUGAUCAGAACAUCUGAAACACAUCAACAUCACAAUAGACCGUAGACAUUUUUAAUUUUUGUCAGGAAUGAAAACGAGGCCGUGAUAUCAUUCAUUCAAUGGAUUGUACUGUUGUUAAACAACAUGCCAAUUGUUCAGCUGAUGAAACGGCUUUCCAAAAACUUUCAGAACAUAAAACAGUUUUGAAAGUGCAGCUCCUGUCUCUUUGAAUGGGGAAACAUCAAAUUCUCCAAAGCGCUUGCCAAGCUUUCGAUUAAAUUUCAUAUUUGUAAUCACCAAUGAAAUCUGACAACAACUGUUUCAUACAAUUUGUUUCUAAACGCUCGAAUCAUGACAAAAAAAGUAUUUUUCAGGAUGGAUCAAGCUAAUGCGCAGUCCUAAAUGCGCAUCCCUUGUGUCUCACUUCUGAGGCGCGCAUCUCAUUGUUUCUAUAGGAACCGGAGCUUCUAACAGGUGUUAUGAAAUAUUGGGUGUCUGAGAUUUUCGGUGACACUGGGCAGAGCUUACAUGAAUAUUCAAGAGUUUCCUGUUUUGAGUUAAAGCGCCACUGAAAAUGUUAGUGGACUGUCCUUAGAUCACAGAACUGUUUUCUGUAACGUGAUUGUGUUUCUGUGUCGAAUUAAUUUAUGAUUCUUUUUUAUUAAUAACUGUUUAUGUAUGCUCAGUAGUUUGUAGGUUACAUUGUGUCACAAGAUAUACUUUAGUAGUGAUUACAGCCACUGGUGGUCUAUCGUUAGGAAAUGAGCCAACAUUGAGUUUGUUUGUUUUAGUAGGCUACAACUGUUUUGAUUUUAUUUUAGUUCGUUUGAGAAGAUAACUUGUAUAAAUGUAUCUGUGGUUGCAUAAUAAAAGUUUCAGUUGUGAUUGUGUCAUUCCCUAUUGCUUUCUCAGAUAGCCUGCAUAACUUUAACCAGACAUUAUUAUUUUUAACCCUUAUGCGGUCUUCGGGGUCUUUUUGACCCGCAAAUGAUGUUUGCUCAAAUUAAAAAAAAAUGUUCUCUUUGUCCAAAUGGCAUGAGACUUUGUACGGUGGUUUUAAGAUCUACAAAUAAAAAAAAA